CAAGCGCUGCCAGCAAGCAGAGAUCUUGAAAAGUGUGAACAAUUAAACUUUGCACAAUAAUUAAACUUGACAAGGGUUAUCGUGUUAGUAAAUGUGGAGGGACAUCCCCAUUGUUACUGAACUGUGACUAAAUGCGGCCUGCUGUGUCUGCAGACGGACCCUCGGGCCAGCUCUAUCGAUCUCUCCUACUCAUAAGGGAAACUAUUCUGAUAACAGAAGUAUAAUAUAUAUGUAUGAUAUUAUAAUGCUGAAAUCCUCUGUGCCUCUAGAAAUCCAAGAAGACAAAACCAGCUGAAAGCAUCGCAGCAAAUGGCCCUACACAGGAAGUAGCUGCAGGACCCUCCGGAAUCACAAAUGGGACCAAAACCAAUGCAAGGGAUAAAAUCAGUUUUGUGUCCAGCACUGAAUCCAGUGAACCCAAGUCAUCAGAAAAUGCUGUAUCAUCAUCAUCUGCUGCUAAGAGGCCAUUGCCAAGCGUGGACAGGAAGUCUGAGGCAUACAAAUCCAUCUUCACCUCCCACAGCUCUGCCAAGCGCACCAAGGAUCAGUCGUCCAACUGGGUCACCCACACGGCAUAUUACUUCUAAGUGAAUGAACUGGACCUCACCACGACUGUACUGAGAAUAGACAUUUAUAUAAAGUGUUGUGAACUUUUAUUGUAUUUUUCUUUUUAUGGGAUUAAUGCUUUAUCUGAGAUUUGACCUUGCCCAAAUAUUAAAGGGGCAGUCUUCUGCCCUCAGUCAUACAUUGUGUGUGUAAGCGCGUCAAUAGUUUUGCAACGCCACUGUGUUCCAUGUGCAGUUAUUGAGGCACGUGCAUAGAGUGCAUCUGCAGAUACAAAUUCAUUUCAUGGUUUAGUAGUUCCCAGACCUGUUUUUAAAGGGGUAUUCCAACUUUUAAAAUCGGAGCAUGUUUGUGAGGUGGGCCCAAAUAUCUUCAUCUCUUCUGGAAGCAAAUCCGUCAUAGUAACCAGGAGGCCUGAAAAACCAGAGAGUUUCUGAAAAUGUGAGCGGUGACAAAGAAGGCCUAGUGUAGUACUGAGCACUGCAGCCAUUGCUUGUCCCAGCUCACAAACCUCAGUGGAUAAUAGGAGUUGGAUGUCCCUUUAGAAAAGUACAAUAAAAAUGUGAUGUCCUUGUGAUAGGUCAUUAAACUGUCAUUUACUUGUA
Molecule: long non-coding RNA, 1169 nt
Organism: Bufo gargarizans (Asiatic toad)
Lineage: Eukaryota; Metazoa; Chordata; Amphibia; Anura; Bufonidae
Exons: 3
Source: RefSeq, a predicted model, not a curated record